AAUCAACGCUGGCGGCGUGCCUAACACAUGCAAGUCGAACGAGAAAGUGGAGCAAUCCAUGAGUAAAGUGGCGCACGGGUGAGUAACACGUGACUAACCUACCCUUGAGUGGGGGAUAACCUAGGGAAACCUGGGCUAAUACCGCAUAAUACCUUCGGGUCAAAGGAGCAAUUCGCUUUAGGAGGGGGCCGCGGCCGAUUAGUUAGUUGGCGGGGUAAUGGCCCACCAAGACUGUGAUCGGUAUCCGGCCUGAGAGGGCGCACGGACACACUGGAACUGAAACACGGUCCAGACUCCUACGGGAGGCAGCAGUGGGGAAUUUUGCGCAAUGGGGGAAACCCUGACGCAGCAACGCCGCGUGAAGGAUGAAGCCCCUUGGGGCGUAAACUCCUUUCGAUCGGGAAGAUAAUGACGGUACCGAGAGAAGAAGCCCCGGCUAACUUCGUGCCAGCAGCCGCGGUAAUACGAGGGGGGCGAGCGUUGUUCGGAAUUAUUGGGCGUAAAGGGUGCGUAGGCGGUUCAGUAAGUCUUGUGUGAAAUCUUCGGGCUCAACUCGAAGUCUGCAUGAGAAACUGCUG
RNAcentral lists this ribosomal RNA (578 nucleotides) under uncultured bacterium. RNAcentral's name for it is "bacterial SSU rRNA". It matches the Rfam family "Bacterial small subunit ribosomal RNA", at positions 28 to 638 of the family's 1533-position model. The record is from RNAcentral.